This 1998-nucleotide long non-coding RNA is filed under the name Triticum aestivum (bread wheat). Its description in RNAcentral is "long non-coding RNA (TAES_LNC017417)". Lineage: Eukaryota; Viridiplantae; Streptophyta; Magnoliopsida; Poales; Poaceae. The record is from RNAcentral.
UAUGAUUAUAUAUUUACCAAUGACUAUUACGGUUGAUAGCUUUAAAGUCUUUGCUUCUAUAUAUGCAGCUGAGAAUGACUUAUAAGUUCAUGGCAAAAGCAGCAACAUGAGUACGCAACCACAAGCAAGCUGAGGGGGUAAUAAUCUUGGUAGUUAAGUCUUAGAUUCAGUAUUUUGCUUUUGGAUACAUGUUUGCUGCCAUUUCAGAACAUUGAAACUUAUUUAGCAUUUCGUUUCUUAUAUGCUUCAUGCAAAUAAAACUGCAGUAAACAUAUGAGCCGAGAUUUUGCUUGGCAUGUGUAUGUAUGCAUGCCCUGAAUUUGCUUAGCAUUUUUAUGCAUACAACUAUUGGAAGCUUUUACAUGUCUUGGAACUGAGCUUUUGCAUGCCCUGUGUUUUCUGAAGCUGAGUCUUUUGUUAUUGGCUAGUACUUGAAACAGAGUCGAAGGCCUCUUGCCAUAUAACCAUUUAUGAAGUGCAUAUGUGAUGCCUUAUCUUGUAUUCCUACACAUAGUCCAGUAUUUUUUUCAUGUGUAAAAAGUGGCUGACCUGCCAUUACACUGUUAAGUAUUUUGUACACAUCAGGAAUCUUGUUGUAGAUACACACUGAGCUGAAAAUGAUGCUAGCAGAAAUAGGUUUUCUGUUAGCUACGCAUCUGGUUUAAAACAUGAUAUGACUACUUGCUUUGGAAUAGUAACGCCUUGAUAUUAUCUGAUCCUAUCUCAUGUAUAUUUUAGUUAUUUCUAGACAACGCUUUAGGAACCGAGUUCACUACAACUCGAAGUCUUGUGCAUGGAGGAGAAUUGAGAUAUUUGUGCAUUCUGUACUAGUCAAAAGGUAUGUGUAGAUAUUCUGCUCAUUCUAGUUCAUGCUGCUACUUUGUUAAGGUCUUCUUUUAUGAGCCUCUACCUUGUGCAAAUAAUAUGAUUAUUUAGCAGCCUAGUUUCAUAGCUUUGAAUCUCAUGUGAAUAAACUAUAUGUCUAGGUGUUUGCUGUUCUUUGCUUAACUAGAUAUCGAAGUAUAGACAACAAGCUCAUGUACAAGAUGGAAAUUAUGAUGGUUAUUUAGUUUAUUUCAUUGAUUCUCGGCAUAUUAAUUGAUUGUAACGUUCUAGCUUUAUUUAAGGAGAUCUAAAAGAAACAACAAGUAAUCUCCCUUUUCCUUUCUUUUACAAUUGUCAUUAUUUUAUAUGACCUUUUUUAGUCAAUCUGUUGUCAUCGGUCUGAAUUUUUAGACAAUUAAAAUUUGUGAUGAAUUCUUAAAUUGAUUAAGAAGACUGGAUUUGUAAAACUUUGUUUGUGUCGCUGGAUGCAGAUCUUUUAUAUCUUUCUAAUACCUUGAACUAACUAUUUUCUCCGCAGUUACAUAUAUGCAUAUCUUAUGCUCAUUUGCCAGGCUUGACCAAAGUUUCGCCGUCCUUUUGGUGUCUAUUAUUUGUGUAAGUUUCAUCGCUUUAGAAGUAAUAUUCAAUCCAAAGAUUUUCUUCAGUAGAGCAAUUCAGCUAGUAUGUUUGCAAGCAAAUUUAUGCCAGGACAAGUACUAGUAGUGGAGCUAAGAACAUAUUAGGGCACGAUAUUUAAUGGAUUAUUCAAGUAGGAUCCUGGCAAACUUUGCUAUCAAUUCUGUUCCCAUAUCCUCCGGCAUGCGAAAUCCCCCCUCAAGAGGCGAGCCAUUAGUGUUUUGAUGUCUGAGCCUAUCUCCAUUUUUUGUGCUACAAUAUAGAUAGUUUACCAAGGUUAUUAGCUUAUAGCAGAUCUACCAUCUUCUCCUUUCAGGUUGGCAUCAUGGUUGGAAGAUCUUCUGUGCUACUCUCUACAUGAUGUUUCUUCUACAUGAUAGCACUUGACGUCUAUAUGAUAGCGCUUGAAGUCUACAUGAUGUUUCUUGUAUUCAUAGCUCAAACCAUUUGUUUAGCUUAGUUUGAACAAAAAAUAUUAUUGUCUUACAUGUAAAUAAUGUUUACUAAUGUAGCUGGAUGCUACUGAACGCAUGUACG